GACGUAGGGUGCAAGCGUUGUCCGGAAUCAUUGGGCGUAAAGAGCGUGUAGGCGGCCUGGUAAGUCCGCUGUGAAAGUCCAGGGCUCAACCCUGGAAUGCCGGUGGAUACUGUCGGGCUCGAAUCCGGAAGAGGUGAGUGGAAUUCCUGGUGUAGCGGUGAAAUGCGCAGAUAUCAGGAGGAACACCAAUGGCGAAGGCAGCUCACUGGGACGGUAUUGACGCUGAGACGCGAAAGCGUGGGGAGCAAACAGG
RNAcentral lists this ribosomal RNA (253 nucleotides) under uncultured bacterium. Its description in RNAcentral is "partial 16S ribosomal RNA". It matches the Rfam family "Bacterial small subunit ribosomal RNA", at positions 524 to 776 of the family's 1533-position model. The record is from RNAcentral.